UACGUAGGGGGCAAGCGUUAUCCGGAAUUAUUGGGCGUAAAGAGUACGUAGGUGGCAACCUAAGCGCAGGGUUUAAGGCAAUGGCUCAACCAUUGUUCGCCCUGCGAACUGGGAUGCUUGAGUGCAGGAGAGGAAAGCGGAAUUCCUAGUGUAGUGGUGAAAUGCGUAGAUAUUAGGAGGAACACCAGUGGCGAAGGCGGCUUUCUGGACUGUAACUGACACUGAGGUACGAAAGCGUGGGGAGCAAACAGG
This 252-nucleotide ribosomal RNA is filed under the name uncultured bacterium. RNAcentral describes it as "partial 16S ribosomal RNA". It matches the Rfam family "Bacterial small subunit ribosomal RNA", at positions 524 to 776 of the family's 1533-position model. The record is from RNAcentral.